This 429-nucleotide ribosomal RNA is filed under the name uncultured bacterium. Its description in RNAcentral is "bacterial SSU rRNA". It matches the Rfam family "Bacterial small subunit ribosomal RNA", at positions 355 to 775 of the family's 1533-position model. The record is from RNAcentral.
UGGGGAAUAUUGCGCAAUGGGGGAAACCCUGACGCAGCGACGUCGUGUGAGGGAAGAAGGCCUUCGGGUCGUAAACCUCUGUCAGAAGGGAAGAACAUCCGGGAGUCGAACAGCCUCCCGGCCUGACGGUACCUUCAGAGGAAGCGCCGGCUAACUCCGUGCCAGCAGCCGCGGUAAUACGGAGGGCGCAAGCGUUAAUCGGAAUCACUGGGCGUAAAGCGUGCGUAGGCUGCUUGAUAAGUCAGACGUGAAAUCCCUCGGCUCAACCGGGGAACUGCGUUUGAUACUGUCGAGCUAGAGUCCUGGAGAGGGUGGCGGAAUUCCUGGUGUAGGAGUGAAAUCCGUAGAUAUCAGGAGGAACACCGGUGGCGAAGGCGGCCACCUGGACAGGUACUGACGCUGAGGUACGAAAGCGUGGGGAGCAAACAG